RNAcentral lists this ribosomal RNA (656 nucleotides) under Escherichia coli. Its description in RNAcentral is "partial 23S ribosomal RNA". It matches the Rfam family "Bacterial large subunit ribosomal RNA", at positions 574 to 1230 of the family's 2925-position model. Lineage: Bacteria; Pseudomonadati; Pseudomonadota; Gammaproteobacteria; Enterobacterales; Enterobacteriaceae. The record is from RNAcentral.
UGGGAGCACGCUUAGGCGUGUGACUGCGUACCUUUUGUAUAAUGGGUCAGCGACUUAUAUUCUGUAGCAAGGUUAACCGAAUAGGGGAGCCGAAGGGAAACCGAGUCUUAACUGGGCGUUAAGUUGCAGGGUAUAGACCCGAAACCCGGUGAUCUAGCCAUGGGCAGGUUGAAGGUUGGGUAACACUAACUGGAGGACCGAACCGACUAAUGUUGAAAAAUUAGCGGAUGACUUGUGGCUGGGGGUGAAAGGCCAAUCAAACCGGGAGAUAGCUGGUUCUCCCCGAAAGCUAUUUAGGUAGCGCCUCGUGAAUUCAUCUCCGGGGGUAGAGCACUGUUUCGGCAAGGGGGUCAUCCCGACUUACCAACCCGAUGCAAACUGCGAAUACCGGAGAAUGUUAUCACGGGAGACACACGGCGGGUGCUAACGUCCGUCGUGAAGAGGGAAACAACCCAGACCGCCAGCUAAGGUCCCAAAGUCAUGGUUAAGUGGGAAACGAUGUGGGAAGGCCCAGACAGCCAGGAUGUUGGCUUAGAAGCAGCCAUCAUUUAAAGAAAGCGUAAUAGCUCACUGGUCGAGUCGGCCUGCGCGGAAGAUGUAACGGGGCUAAACCAUGCACCGAAGCUGCGGCAGCGACGCUUAUGCGUUGUUGGGUA